Molecule: small RNA, 513 nt
Filed under: uncultured Glomus
Lineage: Eukaryota; Fungi; Glomeromycota; Glomeromycetes; Glomerales; Glomeraceae
Description: SSU rRNA
Rfam family: Eukaryotic small subunit ribosomal RNA
Source: RNAcentral
AGCAGCCGCGGUAAUUCCAGCUCCAAUAGCGUAUAUUAAAGUUGUUGCAGUUAAAAAGCUCGUAGUUGAAUUUCGGGAUCAAUAUUUCGGUCAUGCCGUUGGUAUGCACUGUUAUCAUUGAUUUCUCACCUUCUAAAGAACCGUAAUGCCAUUAAUUUGGUGUUACGGGGAAUUAGGACUGUUACCUUGAAAAAAUUAGAGUGUUUAAAGCAGGCUCACGCUUGAAUACAUUAGCAUGGAAUAAUGAAAUAGGACAUCCGAUUCUAUUUUGUUGGUUUCUAGGAUCGAUGUAAUGAUUAAUAGGGAUAGUUGGGGGCAUUAGUAUUCAAUUGUCAGAGGUGAAAUUCUUGGAUUUAUUGAAGACUAACUACUGCGAAAGCAUUUGCCAAGGAUGUUUUCAUUAAUCAAGAACGAAAGUUAGGGGAUCGAAGACGAUCAGAUACCGUCGUAGUCUUAACCAUAAACUAUGCCGACUAGGGAUCGGAUGAUGUUAAUUUUUUAAUGUACUCAUUC